UUUCUUAUAAUGGCAGGUAAAUAAUCGAUGUAGUAUAAAAACAACUGUUUGGAAACAAUCGGACAUAGGAUUAUGUUGGGCAUAUUUUAAUAUGAACGUCUUUUCUUAUUUUAACAUGCUGAAUUCACCAGUACAGUUUAUGUUCUGAGAUAUACUCUGUAUAAAUCCAUGUAGCGCCUUUAAUAAGUUUAUUAUCAUAAAAAAUACAUAUACAGAAAAAUAGUCAUUUUUACAAGUGUAAGAGACAAUAUUUUACGACUCCUAAGGACAACUGGCAAUUACCUCUUUUAUUUGAACUGGCAAUUAAAAGAAAGAACUGGUCUAUUCAAAAUGGUAUCAUUUAAAGGAACAGCUUUCACAAUGGGUCUACGCGGUGAAAUGUAAGCGCCUACGAAAGCCAUAAAAGUUACAAACCUGGACGAUCCUCGUUUCAUGUAGGUUGAACGCAGAACGAAGGGGAAUACCUCGAAGAGACGGCUUCAAGCGUACAUCCGGAUGAUAUAAAGGAGAAGUCCGACUUUGCUCGGAGGAGCCAUUAAAUUUUAUUUCUUUUAUUUCACAUUCGAAGGAGAAAUUUUGAGGAGAAAGAAGCGGUAUCGUAAGGAAGAAUAAUUCUUCACUGGUAGGACUUAGUGGCUUGGAAAGAAAUUAUCUUCCGGUCCGUGCACUCGGCAGGAAACCUAAUGUCAGUCUUCCUGUCGUGGGAAUGUUCGCGGUCCGUAUCAAGGUCUGGACGAAUACGAAUCGAAUGAAAGCAACUCCUCCGCGAAUGAACUUUUCAUUUGAUUCUCAUUAUCCCAGGAUGAAAAACUAACCGUUCAUCUAUACAAGUUAUCCUGACCUUACUUAAAAUAUAUUUCCUAUUAUCCAAAAGAAAAUAAAUUUUCAAGCUCUCUUGCAAUUUAGAAACCAUUUAAAAAAGAGAAACGUGAUCGAGAGGACAGCUUAGAAUUUAGGAAUCGAAUAAUCGGAAAAGAAAUUCCGUCCACGUUUGUCCCGAAAGGAAAAAUUCAAUGCUCCUUUUUCCUGACGCUCGAACGAACAGCAUUCGUUCGCAUCUUUCAAGAAAUUGGAAGGGGAGAAAGCAUUGUCGUCGUGACAAUCGGACGUGGCGCGCGUGCCACGAUAGAAACGUGCCUCGAGUGGCUCCAUCAAUGUGAAGAGAAAAAAGAAAAGAAAGAAAAAGAAGAGAAGAGAAGAGAAGAAAAGAAAAG
Vespa mandarinia (Asian giant hornet) is the source of this 1214-nucleotide long non-coding RNA. The record is from RefSeq and is a predicted model, not a curated record. Lineage: Eukaryota; Metazoa; Arthropoda; Insecta; Hymenoptera; Vespidae.